GGAGGUGGGGGCACCCUGCUCCGCCCUGCCGCGUGAGCUGAAGAAGGCCUUCGGGUCUGUAAAGCUCUUUCGGACGGAACGAAAUGGUUACGGUCAAUACCCGUGACUGAUGACGGUACCGUAAGGAGAAGCACCGGCUAACUACGUGCCAGCAGCCGCGGUAAUACGUAGGGUGCGAGCGUUAAUCGGAAUUACUGGGCGUAAAGCGUGCGCAGGCGGUUUCGUAAGCUGGAGGUGAAAUCCCCGGGCUUAACCUGGGAAUGGCCUUCAGGACUGCGAGGCUAGAGUGCGGCAGAGGGAGGUGGAAUUCCACGUGUAGCAGUGAAAUGCGUAGAUAUGUGGAGGAACACCGAUGGCGAAGGCAGCCUCCUGGGCCAGCACUGACGCUCAUGCACGAAA
This 399-nucleotide ribosomal RNA is filed under the name uncultured bacterium. RNAcentral's name for it is "bacterial SSU rRNA". It matches the Rfam family "Bacterial small subunit ribosomal RNA", at positions 365 to 758 of the family's 1533-position model. The record is from RNAcentral.